AUUUUAAUUUUUGUGGGUACAACAUUCACUAUAUUAAGAUCAUGCACGUGUCCUCAAACCUAGUUCUUUUCCUAAGUCUAGUUUUAUAAAUGCUAAUGAUGAAC
Small nucleolar RNA from Papio anubis (olive baboon), 104 nucleotides. Its record names the gene SNORA72. It matches the Rfam family "Small nucleolar RNA SNORA72". From Rfam's summary of the family: U72 is a member of the H/ACA class of snoRNAs. The snoRNA gene is located in intron 4 of the ribosomal L30 protein gene in human, mouse and chicken. Lineage: Eukaryota; Metazoa; Chordata; Mammalia; Primates; Cercopithecidae. The record is from Ensembl.